AACUUGCCUGCAUGAUCAAGUGACGAUCCUGAGAGAGAAGUCGAACCAUUUCCACAUAGCCGCCUUCAGGCGGUGGGCAUAACUCAUCCAGGGAGAUGAGAUGGAUUGAGUUGUGCGAGUCCGAUUCAACAAUAAGGGGAAACCAGACCGCAUUAAUGGCAAGGUCAAGACCAGUCUUUAACGCAAACAGUUUCGUAGCCAAAACUGACACAAGUAUGGGACUAGGCAUAACAACAUGCCCCAUUAGACCUCCAUGGAAAUCACGAACAAUCGCACCUACAUUCCUUCUACCAUCGGUCAAGUUCAAACCACCAUCCAAAUUUAACUUGAACCAUCCUUUCUACAUAGGGAGCUAGAUAGAACUUUGCACCUAUAAAGGAACGCUCAUAUGGCGAUAGAGUUUAACAUUUCUGAACUCAACAACAUAGUCCUUCACACGUCGGAUUAACACAUCGAAUUCCACACCCUUGGCCUCGAACACAAUUUGCUUUCUGUCAAACCAAAGCCACCAAAUCCCAGCUGCAAACAAGGGAAAGAUUAGAGGUGGAAUUGAGUCCCAAACUUCUCUCAACCAAUCAGUGAUCGCCACCGUACUGGAGCACCAAACAGAACUGGGAAACCCUAGCUUCUCCCAGAACCUCGUGCAGAAGUAGCAGUCACGGUGUGCAUGAAGAGCAGAUU
This 681-nucleotide long non-coding RNA is filed under the name Malus domestica (apple). RNAcentral's name for it is "long non-coding RNA (MDOM_LNC001532)". The record is from RNAcentral. Lineage: Eukaryota; Viridiplantae; Streptophyta; Magnoliopsida; Rosales; Rosaceae.